AACGACUCUUGACAACGGAUAUCUCAGCUCUCGCAUCGAUAAAGAAUAUAGUGAAAUGCGAUACUUGGUGUGAAUUGCAGAAUCUCGAGAACCAUCGAGUCUUUGAACACAAGGUGCACCCGAAGACUUCUGGCCGAGGGCACAUCUACCUGGGUGUCACUC
This 162-nucleotide ribosomal RNA is filed under the name Ceriops australis. Its description in RNAcentral is "5.8S ribosomal RNA". It matches the Rfam family "5.8S ribosomal RNA". From Rfam's summary of the family: 5.8S ribosomal RNA (5.8S rRNA) is a component of the large subunit of the eukaryotic ribosome. It is transcribed by RNA polymerase I as part of the 45S precursor that also contains 18S and 28S rRNA. Functionally, it is thought that 5.8S rRNA may be involved in ribosome translocation. The record is from RNAcentral. Lineage: Eukaryota; Viridiplantae; Streptophyta; Magnoliopsida; Malpighiales; Rhizophoraceae.